GCACAAGCGGUGGAGUAUGUGGUUUAAUUCGAUGCAACGCGAAGAACCUUACCUGGUCUUGACAUCCCGGAGACCCUUAGGAAACUAGGGGUGCUUCCAUCUGGAGAAUCUGGAGACAGGUGCUGCAUGGCUGUCGUCAGCUCGUGUCGUGAGAUGUUGGGUUAAGUCCCGCAACGAGCGCAACCCUUGCCUUUAGUUGCCAGCAGUUCGGCUGGGCACUCUAAAGGGACUGCCGGUGUUAAACCGGAGGAAGGUGGGGAUGACGUCAAGUCCUCAUGGCCUUUAUGACCAGGGCUACACACGUACUACAAUGGUCGGUACAAAGGGUUGCCAAGCCGCGAGGUGGAGCUAAUCCCAUAAAACCGAUCGUAGUCCGGAUCGCAGUCUGCAACUCGACUGCGUGAAGUCGGAAUCGCUAGUAAUCGUGAAUCAGAAUGUCACGGUGAAUACGUUCCCGGGCCUU
Molecule: ribosomal RNA, 463 nt
Filed under: uncultured Pseudomonas sp.
Lineage: Bacteria; Pseudomonadati; Pseudomonadota; Gammaproteobacteria; Pseudomonadales; Pseudomonadaceae
Description: bacterial SSU rRNA
Rfam family: Bacterial small subunit ribosomal RNA
Source: RNAcentral